Molecule: ribosomal RNA, 241 nt
Filed under: uncultured Staphylococcus sp.
Lineage: Bacteria; Bacillati; Bacillota; Bacilli; Caryophanales; Staphylococcaceae
Description: partial 16S ribosomal RNA
Rfam family: Bacterial small subunit ribosomal RNA
Source: RNAcentral
CGGGCGGGUGAGUAACGCGUGGAUAACCUACCUAUAAGACUGGGAUAACUUCGGGAAACCGGAGCUAAUACCGGAUAAUAUUUUGAACCGCAUGGUUCAAAAGUGAAAGACGGUCUUGCUGUCACUUAUAGAUGGAUCCGCGCUGCAUUAGCUAGUUGGUAAGGUAACGGCUUACCAAGGCAACGAUGCAUAGCCGACCUGAGAGGGUGAUCGGCCACACUGGAACUGAGACACGGUCAAG